AUACGUAGGGUGCAAGCGUUAAUCGGAAUUACUGGGCGUAAAGCGUGCGCAGGCGGUUUUGUAAGACAGAGGUGAAAUCCCCGGGCUCAACCUGGGAACUGCCUUUGUGACUGCAAGGCUAGAGUACGGCAGAGGGGGAUGGAAUUCCGCGUGUAGCAGUGAAAUGCGUAGAUAUGCGGAGGAACACCGAUGGCGAAGGCAAUCCCCUGGGCCUGUACUGACGCUCAUGCACGAAAGCGUGGGAGCAAACAGGAUUAGAUACCCUGGUAGUCCACGCCCUAAACGAUGUCAACUGGUUGUUGGGUCUUCAUUGACUCAGUAACGAAGCUAACGCGUGAAGUUGACCGCCUGGGGAGUACGGCCG
This 364-nucleotide ribosomal RNA is filed under the name uncultured bacterium. RNAcentral describes it as "partial 16S ribosomal RNA". It matches the Rfam family "Bacterial small subunit ribosomal RNA", at positions 523 to 888 of the family's 1533-position model. The record is from RNAcentral.